This 255-nucleotide ribosomal RNA is filed under the name uncultured bacterium. Its description in RNAcentral is "partial 16S ribosomal RNA". It matches the Rfam family "Bacterial small subunit ribosomal RNA", at positions 524 to 776 of the family's 1533-position model. The record is from RNAcentral.
UACGUAGGGUGCGAGCGUUGUCCGGAAUUAUUGGGCGUAAAGAGCUUGUAGGCGGUUUGUCGCGUCUGCUGUGAAAAUCCGGGGCUCAACCCCGGACUUGCAGUGGGUACGGGCAGACUAGAGUGUGGUAGGGGAGACUGGAAUUCCUGGUGUAGCGGUGAAAUGCGCAGAUAUCAGGAGGAACACCGAUGGCGAAGGCAGGUCUCUGGGCCACUACUGACGCUGAGAAAGCGGAAAGCAUGGGGAGCGAACAGG